Long non-coding RNA from Clupea harengus (Atlantic herring), 1650 nucleotides. NCBI's taxonomy places the organism in Eukaryota, Metazoa, Chordata, Actinopteri, Clupeiformes, Clupeidae. The record is from Ensembl.
CCCACCGGAGGGUGGCUGCUCCUCCCUCGUCUCGCUCAUCAGAGCUCCCCUAGAUCUACCAGUGUUCAUCUACGCCGUAUGUGGUUGACUACGUAUUAAUGCCUAUUUCUUUUUUUACCAAAGUCAGUUUCAUUGUAUUUGCAUUCUCAUAUGAUGUAUUUCUAUAUUUGAUUUUUUUUGUUUGUUUAUUUUAUAAAUUUUUUCGUCCUGGGCCAGCUUUAUGGGAACUUAGUUUGACCCACCUUAUGCUCAGAAACCUUAGUAAGUAGCUCAUCUGACUUUCUAAAGGUCAGACUUAUCGCUUUAUACAUUUGUAUAAUGUAAAUGUAUUCUGUUGAAAGUACAGUCCUAAUCAGGUGUAGCUCCUAACGCGUUCAAAUAGAAUUAACACUUUUCUCAUCAGCUAGCCACGUAUAAUCUUUGAGUAUUUGUUUUGGGUUAGCAUUUACGUUGUAGGCUGUAGCCUAAUUUUUACACAAUAAGCAGAUGUCGACAGAAGGCUGUUAUUGUAACACUUACAACAAGUACCCUACACUAGUCUACUUCAUGUUAUUAAGAUAAUGUAAACAUAAGGUACUGAUAGCAUUAUUUCAGUCCUCAAACACGUGUUUGCGUCUUAGACAUAUCAAUUUAACACACUCCGUAAAGACAGCGUGCCUUAUUUGGGUUAUUUUUAAAACUAUUUUUACAUUCUUAGUUGUUUACUAAGAUUUUAGGUCGAUGGCUAUGACGAGGGUAGUUCGUCAGAUGUUUGCACUGAAACUUGGUUGUUGACAAGAAUGUUCUGGAUGGCGUCGACCCACAUUUUGCCCGUUUCAAAACAUUGAUAUUCAGCUCGCGUCGCAUGGGAAGCACCCUAAAUUCACACCUUGCAAAGAAGUAUUGUCUAAAAGCCUGCUAGGUUUGCAUUUCACAUUCGCUUCCUCACGAAAUCAUUUAAGUGUAAAAUUGUAAACAACCGACAAGUCAUGGCUCUUGUUACGUAACGCACUGCUCUAUUUAUAAGACUGCGGAUCCAGUAGCGCAACUUGACUGCCUCUAGCGUUUCACACUACUCGCUGUUAUUUGCAUGAAUAUAUCUGCCUUAUUUACCUAUUACUGGCUGUUCUACGGGGUCGAAAAAAUGACCAGAAUAGUGUUCAGUUGUAAAGGGCGUUUAAUGAACAGCAAUUGUUACAUAAGAACACAAGAAGAAAAUAUUUAAACAUUAUAUGCCUCUCUUGUGUAUCACUGACGAACAUCGCCUCGACCCAAAUAGGAUGAUGGUGAUGUUCUAGUGAUGACGCGAAAUAAAGGUCUGCAAGGAGAUGAAUGCGUCAGUCAGGGACAAGAUGCGUAGGGGAAAACUGCGCAUUCAGAAUGAUUUUUGCCCGUGGUCUUCUUACAGCUGAUCCCAGAUGAAGCUUAAAAUGGUGCCACCGUCUGGCUUACACUCUCUACGCAUGCAGGGUUAAGCUGUCACAGCAGAAGCACAAUAAGGGAGGUGGAUAGAAUUAAGAGCAGUGGUGUUGAAUGAUCUCUCCUAAGCUGGAUACUACACAGGAGCUCGUCCUUGCUCUCUUGGCCAGGGACAUCAUAGAGGCUGUGCAGAGGCUGUUUACCCAAUGGAGUAGCUAACAAAUGGGCAACUCAGUACAAAGGCUGAUUGUC